Small nuclear RNA from Ailuropoda melanoleuca (giant panda), 107 nucleotides. The record is from Ensembl. Lineage: Eukaryota; Metazoa; Chordata; Mammalia; Carnivora; Ursidae.
GUGCUUGCUUUGGCAGCACAUAUACUAAAAUUGGAAUGAUACAAAGAAGAUUAUCAUGGCCUCUGUGCAAGGAUGACAUGUAAAUUCAUGAAGCAUCCUGUAUUUUU